ACAGCCUGGAAAAAGAAGGGAAAACCUUAAAAUAAGAACGUGUCUCCCAGAAUUCAAAUCUAGGGAGUAUGGAUGGGUGUAAAACUGCUUUAAAGAAACAAAGGUCUCUGUUGUAACCCUGCAGGAUUGGACUCAGCUUCUUCAGACUCCACUCACAUCUUGUGUUAAGAAUGAAUUUUUAAAGACAAAGACAUUCCCGCAAUCCUUUGAAUAAAAUCAAAGUUCUGGACUAACUGUAAAAACAUGAUCAUGAAUGGCAUCCCAGGGAAUCUAAAGUGUCAUUUCCUCUCUAGAAGUAAGGGAGCACAAAACAUGCUAGAUCUCAUCAGAGAAGCCCUACUCUCUAAGAAGAUAAUGAUGUGAGGAAUGGAAUCCAGAUCUCACACAUACAAGGCCUGUGCUCUACCACUGAGAUAUCUCUCCACUUGAGUUUUAUUUCCUAUCUGUAAAUGAAUAGUUUGUUCAGGUACCUUGA
Long non-coding RNA from Erinaceus europaeus (western European hedgehog), 475 nucleotides. RefSeq lists it as uncharacterized. NCBI's taxonomy places the organism in Eukaryota, Metazoa, Chordata, Mammalia, Eulipotyphla, Erinaceidae. The record is from RefSeq and is a predicted model, not a curated record. The transcript has 3 exons.